RNAcentral lists this non-coding RNA (775 nucleotides) under Athyma pravara. Lineage: Eukaryota; Metazoa; Arthropoda; Insecta; Lepidoptera; Nymphalidae. The record is from RNAcentral.
GAUAAAUUUUUUAUAUUUUUAAAAAUUUAUUAUAAAUUUAUUUUACAUGUAAAUUUUAGUAUAAAAUUUUAAUUAUUUUAAUAAUAAUUAAUUUAAUUUAAACAGUAAUUAAAAUUAAAAAUUUAAGAAAUUAAGAUUUAGUAAUAUUUAAAUUAAUAACUAAUUUUGUGCCAGCAGUUGCGGUUAAACAAAAGUUAAAUUAAAUUAUUUCAGUAUUUAAUAAAUAAUAUAAUAUUAAAUUAAAUAUUAAAUUAUUAAGUGAAAUUUUAAUUUAAUUAAAAAUUAUUUAAAAAUUAUGAUUUAAUAAAUUUUAUUAUAAACUAGGAUUAGAUACCCUAUUAUUAAAAAUUUAAUUAAAAAUACUAAAAUAGUAAAUAAAAUAUUAUUGAAACUUAAAUAAAAUGGCGGUAUUUUAGUUCAUUUAGAGGAAUCUGUCUAGUAAUUGAUAAUCCACGAAUAAAUUUACUUAAUUUAUAAUUUUGUAUAUCAUUGUUAAAAAAAUAUUUUUAAAUAAAAAUAAUAUUUUAAAAUUUAUAAUAAAAAUUAAUUCAGAUCAAGAUGCAGAUUAUAAUUAAGUUUAAGAUGGAUUACAAUAAAAUUAUUUAAAUGGAAAAAAUUUUGUAAAAUUUGAUUGAAGGUGGAUUUAAAUGUAAUUUUAAUUAAUUUAUUAAAAUGAUUAAAAAUUGAAAUAUGUACAUAUUGCCCGUCACUUUCAUUUAAAAAUUGAAAUAAGUCGUAACAAAGUAGAGGUACUGGAAAGUGUUUCUAGAAUGAA